UGGUAUCGAUUGCAGUCCGUGCCGUUUAUCGAUUCAAAUUGUACGGCGGUUAUAUUUGCGAACGGGGUGGUCGUUUCCUUUGAGCAGCAUCACGCAGGUUCAUUUUAAUUAGAUAUCAAUAAUACCUCAGCCAGUUUAUGCGUCCAACAUUCGAUAGCUGCCACCAAGCGAACGUGUUUAAAGACGGUGAACUUUCUCAGCUGCGGCGUUUCACUGGCGGCUGCAUGCACGGCUUCCGCCGUUUGUGAUCUGCCGCGUUUGGCCGCGUUGCGUCUGGUUGCUCGAAAAAAAAGUGCUGGCCAGCACGAAAAUUCAUCGCUGGAACCGAGCACAGUCUGCUUGAAGACUAUCCACGAAAGCGGAUUAACCUUGCAGCCCCUGGGCUUGUGCGCCGCCUCCAAGACGCUGCUCAUAUUUGGAGUCAUCGCUUUGGACUCUAUUGUCUCUGGACAUAGAAGUCAACCGUGAACGUGUCUCCACUGGAAGUAACAUCAAGGGCCAGAAUCCUCACAGGGAAGACGGACAAAAGAGAGAUUAUUGGUCUGCAAGCUGCCCACGCUAAGCCACAAGAUGCUCAACCGUCACCAUAAUGACAACAGGUCCUCUUGAACUACGUGCCUCACUAUGAAAUGUUUGGAAGUUUACCAGAUAGAGAGGUGUGAGCCCUGUUAGGAAAACAGCAGUCUACAGUUCUGUAUCAUACUGAGCGGGAAUGAGAAAUUUGACAUACAAGCUUAGUUGGUUUUAAGGGCGCUUUAUGACAAUCGGAGAAGUAACAUGUUGAGUCCCAACUUGUUUCUUUUGCAGUCAUUAUA
Dermacentor silvarum is the source of this 815-nucleotide long non-coding RNA. RefSeq lists it as uncharacterized. The record is from RefSeq and is a predicted model, not a curated record. The transcript is spliced from 3 exons. NCBI's taxonomy places the organism in Eukaryota, Metazoa, Arthropoda, Arachnida, Ixodida, Ixodidae.